Molecule: unclassified non-coding RNA, 21 nt
Filed under: Mus musculus (house mouse)
Lineage: Eukaryota; Metazoa; Chordata; Mammalia; Rodentia; Muridae
Description: oocyte_clustered_small_RNA473
Source: RNAcentral
UGGGCGCGAAUAUGAUUAACA